RNAcentral lists this long non-coding RNA (2228 nucleotides) under Diabrotica virgifera virgifera (western corn rootworm). Its description in RNAcentral is "uncharacterized LOC126886003". The record is from RNAcentral. Lineage: Eukaryota; Metazoa; Arthropoda; Insecta; Coleoptera; Chrysomelidae.
UUGUGCAUACCCUCUACCACGAGUAGAUGCGGGCUUGCCAGUAUCUUUACCUUUUAGCAUACCCUAUACCAUGAGUAUAGUGGGCUUGCUAGUAUCUUUACCUAUAUUGUGUCUUCCUAUCACUGCCCAAGAGAGUAGAGGUUAAGGAUUAUCUUUUACCUUGCUUUUUAGUUGUUGUUGAUAUCCGGAACCAUAUCAUAUAGGUUUAGCUUUGUAGCAAUGUAGUUUCAACUAGUCCUGAUGAAUUAGUCCCUCAUUGAACUCUCGGGUGAUUAAUAGAAUUUGUUCGCUCUAGUGUCAAUGUUGGGUAGAGUUAAUAGGAUUUGUUUUAGUUUGAUUGUUGUGAAUGGUUCUGGUAAUAUUGUGUUAGGGGUUGUUAAUAAACGCCUGUAAUUUAGUUUUAAUGAUGGUUUAUUAACACAUGAGAAUGUAGAUAGUAAGUAGUGUUAAGAGUUAACUUACUCUAUAAGGUUGUAUAAUUAUAUUUAGAAUGUAAGCGAUUAACACGUGAUUGUUUGUUUUUUUUUUUUUUCAAUCUUUGGUUUUACUAAAUUAAAAUUAUCGCGUUGAAUAACUUAUGUCGGUCAGUUACCUAUGUCGGUUAGUUACACAUCUUUUCUAUGUUUUAUACUUUCUGCAAAUAUGAUUAAAUAUGUCUCGCGUGGCCUUUAUACUGUCUGUAUGACUUCGUUCCUGAUUUUUGUUCCGCCUCCUCAGCAAAUAGUAUGGCUGUUGAGGCUACCAUAAUUAUGGUUUUAUACCACCACGUUUCUCCUUUACUGUGUCCAUCCUCGGGUUCGCCCUAGCGUUAGUUCGCUCAGGAAAACUUAAAAAAAAAAAGGAAUCCUUUGGGAGUUUUCCUUUUUUUUUGCUGGAGAUGAGGGAGAAUGUAGCAGUUACGCUACUAACUAAAUAAAUCCAAAUAAAAUUUCAUCAAAUACCCCUAAAUAAAUCCCGUGUGCGACGCCGUCGAUCGACUUAAGAACGAUAUCUCUCUGCUCACGCGCGAAAACCUCGGCGUUCGAUUUUGUCGAUCCGAAUCGGAACGGCAGUUUUGGUCAGGCUCAGAGCGAACACGCUGUGUUUUUUUUUCCUAAGUGGCGGAUUUGGACGAGAUUUUGGAUAAAAUGGAGCAGAUAUAUCACUAAAAUGAAGGAACAUUAAGACCAUCUUUUUUGGAAUAGCGAUAAUAUCAAAACUCAAUUUAUCUUUGGUUUUUUUUUACAUAAAAGAAGUUUAAGGCCAGCGUGUUUCGUCUGUCCAAAUUCCGCCACUUAGACACUUAGUGACUUAGUCACUUAGUUACGUCGUAACUUAGUCACUUUGCAUUCCUUUGCAUAAUUUAUGUCACUUGAAGUAUGUACCAGUAACUGUUAGCAACUUUGCCAUGGUUUACCCAUAGAGCUCGCUGUUUCGUUGGAGAAAACCAGUACCUGACUUCACAACAUUUAGGAUUUUUCAGUAGGACUUGCCCACCACAGCAUCCAACCAGUUUAUCGUGCCAAAAGGACUCUCCUAUGGACUUCAUCUUGAAUUCUUAAAUAGGAACUGUGGUGAAAGAUAAGUUUGUUUACUUUUAUUAUUUAUAUAUUUUGGGUACUCUAUAGUUGCUUGCACUGUAAACUGUUUGUAUGCAUACAAUCGAGUGGAACUAGGUACAUAUUUUCGUGACAGAUAGGGUUUUCAGGUCUUUGUUUUGUUCCAUAUUAUAAAUAGUAGUUUUUUCUAAUUAAGUAAGUCUUGUUUAAUAAUAAUCAUAAAUAAUUGUAGCUUAAAAUUUGAUAGGGAAUCGGGGGUAAAAUUUUGUCGAGCUUUUAAAAUAGGGAAUAUGUCUAGUGGGUUUUUACAUUGUAUAUUAAGAGUCUGACCAGCUCAUUUAUAUAAGUCAAUUGUAUAAUAAUUAGUAUUUUUGCUAGAUGAGAUACUUAAUUUUUGGUAACCGUAGCGUUCUUGUCGUGUACGUAUCUCAUUAGACGAGUUCAAUUUAGGAAAUAUUACUAACUUUUAGUUGUAAGAACUUUGUGCUAUUCACACGGACUUUUGCUUUUGGAUUUUCUACUAAUACAUUUACUUAGCGCAGUGUGUAGUGGUUAAUUGUAAGUUAGUGGCUGUUUGGUCCUGUUUGACCGUUUCACCACCCACUACCACUGUUAUUGUGUUUUGAUUUAUAUAUUACAUUGUCAAUAUAUGUAUAAUAGAGUUAUUGUUAAUAUAUUUGUUAUUAGAAA